Molecule: long non-coding RNA, 1057 nt
Organism: Myotis myotis
Lineage: Eukaryota; Metazoa; Chordata; Mammalia; Chiroptera; Vespertilionidae
Exons: 3
Source: RefSeq, a predicted model, not a curated record
CCCUCCUUCUCGGCUGAAUUCCCUGCUUUGGUCCUUCAAGAACUUCUGUUCUCGGUGAUUGGCCCCAGCGGAGCCGGCCCUGACCCUGGACUUAAAGGGAUUGCGCUCUCUAAGGGCGGACGGGAGGGAGUUCGCGGUGGUUCGUAGCGGAGCCCGACCACUAAUGUUCCAGGUGUUUCUGUUUGUUUUUGGCGCUGGAAGGAAUUUAGACAUCACCUGGCCUGGUCCUAGUCAGAAGCCCAGAGAGAUCGCGCUAUUUGUCCAACUCUGCACAGCGCGCCUCUGCUUUCCACCGGUGCAAUCUUCCACCGUCGGAGAAAGCCGCCCAGAGCUGGCUCCAUCCUCAACACCUUUUAUCUUCAGCUGGAAAUAAUAUUUAAGGUGGUGGCUUCAGCCAUUUGGGCCAGUUACAGAAUUUUCCUGGAUCCCGCCCAUAUAUACAGGAGGCAGGAGCUCAAGCCCCAACUGCAGAGGCGAACAACGGUGCUGAGCCAAGCCGGCUCCUGGCCGGCUCCCCUUUGGGCUCAAGGAUUAGGCUUGUCAUGAUUCCAGGGCUGAGCCAGGGCCUGUGUCAGGCACAGAUGGAGGUGAGAGUUUUUUCUGUGGCCCAAUCAGUGUCCAACCCAGAAGCUGGGUGGGGCUCUCACUGGGCUUGGGUGGAGAUCUUUGUCACCAGGCUCAGACCAGUCUAUGACCAAGGUCAGGGCUCAUCCUGGGAUCAGGAACAGGGAGAAGCAGCCUUUGGUCCCUCCCAGGACAGACCCACCUCAUGAUUCCAACUUCAGGAAGGUGCGUCAGGCUGCUGGGCGGAGAGCCACAGGCCUAAGGCUCCUGGACGACUGCAGAGUCUCUGGUGAAGGUGAUGCUCCUGAGCUGAUGCCCAGAGCUCCUGGUCCACCAUCAGGUGUGUCUUCGGGGAUGUGACCUCCGACCUCCCCUGCAGGCCCUCACCCGAGGACCUGCCCUCCAGAACAGUGUCGCGUGUCACCUCUGACACGCGUGCCAUAGGUUCGCCAUCACUGUUCUAGAACUAUGCACACGUUGACUGGCUCCUUCC